RNAcentral lists this long non-coding RNA (1132 nucleotides) under Vulpes vulpes (red fox). Its description in RNAcentral is "lncRNA (ENSVVUG00000015080.1)". Lineage: Eukaryota; Metazoa; Chordata; Mammalia; Carnivora; Canidae. The record is from RNAcentral.
CCCGAAGUAAGUAACUGCUGAACGGACCAGCUGACAGAUGGGAAAUCCUUGCACGGAGCUAUGACAAGGGGAAGUCUGUGGGAAAAGGUUACAAUUAGCUCAGGGGAGAAAGAUAUUAUUUGCUGGACCUCAUCGAAUUCCAAAACAAGUGGUGAAUAUGUGACAAGACGAAAUUCUGGCAAGAGGAAGGGCGCUCCUGACAGAUGUGUGUUCCUGCAGCCCCCUGCAUAUGUGGAGAGCCCCAAGGGCGAGGCUUCCGCUAGAACUGUCAGGAAGAGUCAACAAGAACCCAAAGAAAUGUCCUCAUCCCAGAACCCAGAGGUGAAGCCAGGUAAGAAGCAUAUAACCUCCUGCCCCACGUCUGAGCCUCACAGAGGCAGGCUCUAAUGCAUUCACUCACUAAUGCUGGCAGCAAAUGUCCACGGAGCAAUACCGCAGGCCAGAAACCAUGCUAGGCCCCGGGGGAUUCAAAUAUUGCAGCUGUCCCCAUGCAAUCAUUUGUUCAUUCACUUGUUCAUUCAUUCAGGGGAUAGGACUGAGCACUGCUCACACACUAGGUUCUAGAGUUGCAGCAGUGAGCAAGACAGAUCUCAUCCCUGACCACAUCAACAGUGUCAUGGUUAGAAGACAUGCUGGGGGUCAGGUGACCUCUGUUUAAAGCCCAUGGACAGGCAAUUUGGGCUCUCCAAGUCUCAGUUUCUUCAACUGUAAAAUGGGUAUUAUCCUACCUCCUCUAUAAAGCUGUAAUGCCAUUGAGAAGUCAAAGAUGUGGAAGCUGCUUCCAGUUCUCAGGUUGGUGAGUAUUCUAUGGAGAGAGAAGCUCUUACAAAUUCACCCUGGGCUAUUUACCUACAGACAAAGGCACCAAAAAGCUAUAUCGAGUUACUGGCUCAUAAAUGGGGGAACAGGGAAUUUCAUAAAGAGACCACUGUGAAUGCAGUGACUUAUUGAGUGUAGAAGGCUGUUGGGGCAGGGCAGAAAUCUUUUCCACUUACAUUUGAAGAGUAUUUUGUGGUUUACAAAGGCGUUUUUGUAAUGCAUAGAGCACCUCGACUAGGUUUAGCCUCCCUCAGGUGUGACUGUCCCCUGGGGGCAGAAGCUGCUUACCUGGUUUGCCCACCCCAGAGUCAAG